Molecule: ribosomal RNA, 610 nt
Filed under: Pseudomonas veronii
Lineage: Bacteria; Pseudomonadati; Pseudomonadota; Gammaproteobacteria; Pseudomonadales; Pseudomonadaceae
Description: bacterial SSU rRNA
Rfam family: Bacterial small subunit ribosomal RNA
Source: RNAcentral
UGGCUCACCAAGGCGACGAUCCGUAACUGGUCUGAGAGGAUGAUCAGUCACACUGGAACUGAGACACGGUCCAGACUCCUACGGGAGGCAGCAGUGGGGAAUAUUGGACAAUGGGCGAAAGCCUGAUCCAGCCAUGCCGCGUGUGUGAAGAAGGUCUUCGGAUUGUAAAGCACUUUAAGUUGGGAGGAAGGGCAGUUACCUAAUACGUGAUUGUUUUGACGUUACCGACAGAAUAAGCACCGGCUAACUCUGUGCCAGCAGCCGCGGUAAUACAGAGGGUGCAAGCGUUAAUCGGAAUUACUGGGCGUAAAGCGCGCGUAGGUGGUUAGUUAAGUUGGAUGUGAAAUCCCCGGGCUCAACCUGGGAACUGCAUUCAAAACUGACUGACUAGAGUAUGGUAGAGGGUGGUGAAAUUUCCUGUGUGUCUUUCAAAUGCGUAAAUAUAGGAAGAACACCAGUGACAAAAGGCGACCACCUGACGGACACUGACCCUGAGGUGCAAAUCGGAGGAGGCAACGGGGAGUAGAUGCCCCUGUUAUCCACGCCUUAACAUGUCCGCUACCCGUCGGACCCUUGAGUUCGUAUUGGCCAUCUAACGAUUAAAUUGACC